AGCACUGAUUAAGUCCUUCCCUUGUGCUAGACCCGGUUCUUCGUGUCGCGUUCGCCACCUUCCUGCCUCCUCCCAGUAGCCCCGUGACACACCUGCUCACAUCCUGUCUGUUUCAGAAAUGAGGCGACCAAAGCAGGAAAGCACGCCCACAGGAUGCUGAUCAGCACGGCAUGCGUUGACGAGUAGAAACCAAGAGACAUGACCAGUGAGGGUACUGGCAGUGGCUGUGUGGCUCUAGUCACGCUACGUCACCGUCUAAAAAUGAGAACGCUACCAGUCUUCCAGCACCUGAAGAUCUGAGGAACAACCGUAAGGACAAGACAACUUAAAAUCUUACCUGCCUCAUGAAUUGCAAGUCUAAAACCACCAAGAAGCCUUCCUUACCUUCCUGGUCUUCCUUGAUUAUGACCAUCCCAGGUUCUUGAUGCCUGUAUGUGUCCAAUCAUUUCUGAGUUAUUCUGCCAUCGUACACAGACUGUGUUAUCAUUUCAAGCAGGAAAUGUAGCCUUUCCUUUAAUUUACACGCAUGUGCACACACACAGCGUCUGUGUGCAAGGUGGUCCUCACCAAAGGUUCUUUAGGAAGGCUAGAGCCAAGAAUUACCUCGUGUCAACAAAACUCCAAAUGCGAUACCAGACAUCAUUUUCUUUUUUUUUCUUUUUUUUCUUUUUGUUUAACAUUUUUUUAAAAUA
This is a long non-coding RNA of Panthera uncia (snow leopard), 692 nucleotides long. RefSeq lists it as uncharacterized. The transcript has 3 exons. NCBI's taxonomy places the organism in Eukaryota, Metazoa, Chordata, Mammalia, Carnivora, Felidae. The record is from RefSeq and is a predicted model, not a curated record.